Long non-coding RNA from Grammomys surdaster, 474 nucleotides. RefSeq lists it as uncharacterized. NCBI's taxonomy places the organism in Eukaryota, Metazoa, Chordata, Mammalia, Rodentia, Muridae. The transcript has 3 exons. The record is from RefSeq and is a predicted model, not a curated record.
AUGCUAGUCAAGUUGACACAAAGACUCAACUUUAUGAAGCCAAUAAAUCACAGUUUUGGUGGCAGCAUGGAGAGAGACGAAGGUUCCGAUGAGAACCUUAGCCACACAGUCUAGGCCACAAGGAAGUGUGUGUUCCAGCCAUCCUGGGUGUGGUACACACAUGCACACUCAUGCACACAUACUCAUGCACAAACACACACACACACAUGCAGGCACAUGCACAUGAAUUACAUUAACCUUGAAAGCUCUGCAAGCUUUGAGCAAGAAUGCUCCCCUUCAUGUUACUGAGUACCAGAUAUUUGUGAUGGAUGAACGGUCCAAGGUACACAGGAAUGGACGAACUGACUGGUGGAUAUUAGCUGGAUCAACAGGCAUUUCUUCAGGAGAGUAAGCAUCUCUACAAGAUGUUGACUGAACUCCGUUGAGCCUGCCGAUAUUGCCUGCAUGCACAGAGAAGUAACUAUUCUUUCUGGA